Molecule: non-coding RNA, 40 nt
Filed under: Alexandrium minutum
Lineage: Eukaryota; Dinophyceae; Gonyaulacales; Pyrocystaceae
Source: RNAcentral
UUUUUUUUUUUUUUUUUUUUUUUUUUUUUUUUUUUUUUGA